RNAcentral lists this ribosomal RNA (386 nucleotides) under uncultured bacterium. Its description in RNAcentral is "bacterial SSU rRNA". It matches the Rfam family "Bacterial small subunit ribosomal RNA", at positions 29 to 416 of the family's 1533-position model. The record is from RNAcentral.
AUUGAACGCUGGCGGCAUGCCUUACACAUGCAAGUCGAGCGGCAGCGCGGGGGGCAACCCUGGCGGCGAGCGGCGGACGGGUGAGUAAUACAUCGGAACGUGUCCUUUCGUGGGGGAUAACCAGUCGAAAGACUGGCUAAUACCGCAUGAGAUCUUACGAUGAAAGCGGGGGACCGCAAGGCCUCGCGCGAUUGGAGCGGCCGAUGUCGGAUUAGCUAGUUGGCGGGGAAAAGCCCACCAAGGCUACGAUCCGUAGCUGGUUUGAGAGAACGACCAGCCACACUGGGACUGAGACACGGCCCAGACUCCUACGGGAGGCAGCAGUGGGGAAUUUUGGACAAGUGGGGCAACCCUGAUCCAGCCAUGCCGCGUGUGUGAAGAAGGCC